ACCCUACGGGGCGCAGCAGUCGGGAAUAUUGCGCAAUGGAGGAAACUCUGACGCAGUGACGCCGCGUGCAGGAAGAAGGUUUUCGGAUUGUAAACUGCUUUAGACAGGGAAGAAAAAAGACAGUACCUGUAGAAUAAGCUCCGGCUAACUACGUGCCAGCAGCCGCGGUAAUACGUAGGGAGCAAGCGUUAUCCGGAUUUAUUGGGUGUAAAGGGAGCGUAGACGGUUAAGUAAGUCUGGAGUGAAAGGCCGGGGCCCAACCCCGGGACUGCUCUGGAAACUAUUCAACUUGAGUGCAGGAGAGG
RNAcentral lists this ribosomal RNA (305 nucleotides) under uncultured bacterium. RNAcentral describes it as "bacterial SSU rRNA". It matches the Rfam family "Bacterial small subunit ribosomal RNA", at positions 335 to 657 of the family's 1533-position model. The record is from RNAcentral.